GGGAAUUCGAUUAGAGUUUGAUCCUGGCUCAGGACRAWCGCWGGMGRCGCGCCUAAUGCAUGCAAGUCGUACGGGUCUUGAGGGGGUAACUCCUCAAGCUAGUGGCAMACGGCUGAUUAACACGUAAGCGACCUGCCCCAGAGAGGGGGAUAAUCCCGAGAAAUCGGGACUAAUACCCCGUACGCUAUACAGACUACGGUCUGCAUAGGAAAAGGCUCGGGCAACCGAGUUGCUCAGGGAGGGGCUUGCGGCCUAUCAGGUAGUUGGUAAGGUAACGGCCUAYCAARCCGAAGACGGGUAMCCGGUGUGAGAGCACGACCGGUCAGAGGGGGACUGCGACACGGCCCCCACUCYUACGGGAGGCAGCAGCAGGGAAUCUUGCGCAAUGGGCUUAACGGCCWGAMGCAGYGACGCCGCGUGGAGGAAGAAGGCCUUCGGGU
RNAcentral lists this ribosomal RNA (440 nucleotides) under uncultured bacterium. RNAcentral's name for it is "partial 16S ribosomal RNA". It matches the Rfam family "Bacterial small subunit ribosomal RNA", at positions 1 to 423 of the family's 1533-position model. The record is from RNAcentral.